This 440-nucleotide ribosomal RNA is filed under the name uncultured bacterium. RNAcentral describes it as "bacterial SSU rRNA". It matches the Rfam family "Bacterial small subunit ribosomal RNA", at positions 338 to 795 of the family's 1533-position model. The record is from RNAcentral.
CCUACGGGAGGCAGCAGUGGGGAAUCUUAGACAAUGGGCGAAAGCCUGAUCUAGCGAUGCCGCGUGAGUGAUGAAGGCCUUAGGGUCGUAAAGCUCUUUCGCCAGGGAUGAUAAUGACAGUACCUGGUAAAGAAACCCCGGCUAACUCCGUGCCAGCAGCCGCGGUAAUACGGAGGGGGUUAGCGUUGUUCGGAAUUACUGGGCGUAAAGCGCGCGUAGGCGGAUUAUUAAGUUAGGGGUGAAAUCCCAGGGCUCAACCCUGGAACUGCCUCUAAUACUGGUAAUCUAGAGUUCGAGAGAGGUGAGUGGAAUUCCGAGUGUAGAGGUGAAAUUCGUAGAUAUUCGGAGGAACACCAGUGGCGAAGGCGGCUCACUGGCUCGAUACUGACGCUGAGGUGCGAAAGCGUGGGGAGCAAACAGGAUUAGAUACCCCAGUAGUC